UGAUGCUCCUGCCUAGGCCUCUCAAAGUGUUGGGAUUACAGGCAUAAGCCAUUGCACCCGGCCUGCACGCGCUCUUUGAAAGCAGUCGAGGGGGCGCUAGGUGUGGGCAGAGACGAGCUGGCGCGGAGUCGCUGGGUGCCCAGCGACCAGGGGCAGAGCCACGCGGCGGGAGGACUACAACUCCCGGCACACCCCGCGCCGCCCAGCCUCUACUCCCAGAAGGCCGCGGGGGGUGGGCCGCCCAAGAGGGCGUGCGCUCCCGACAUGCCCCGCGGCGCGCCAUUAACCGCCAGAUUUGAAUCGCGGGACCCGUUGGCAGAGGUGGCGGCGGCGGCAUGGGUGCCCCGACGUUGCCCCCUGCCUGGCAGCCCUUUCUCAAGGACCACCGCAUCUCUACAUUCAAGAACUGGCCCUUCUUGGAGGGCUGCGCCUGCACCCCGGAGCGGAUGGCGGAGGCUGGCUUCAUCCACUGCCCCACUGAGAACGAGCCAGACUUGGCCCAGUGUUUCUUCUGCUUCAAGGAGCUGGAAGGCUGGGAGCCAGAUGACGACCCCAUAGAGGAACAUAAAAAGCAUUCGUCUGGUUGUGCUUUCCUUUCUGUCAAGAAGCAGUUUGAAGAAUUAACCCUUGGUGAAUUUUUGAAACUGGACAGAGAAAGAGCCAAGAACAAAAUUGAGAGAGCUCUGUUAGCAGAAUGAAAAAAUUGGAGGCCAGAUUCAGGGAGGGACUGGAAGCAAAAGAAUUUCUCUUUGAGGAGGAGCGUGAUGUUUGCCAGGGUCUGUUUAACUGGACAUGAAGAGGAAGGCUCUGGACUUUCCUCCAGGAGUUUCAGGAGAAAGGCAAAGGAAACCAACAAUAAGAAGAAAGAAUUUGAGGAAACUGCGAAGAAAGUGCGCUGUGCCAUUGAGCAGCUGGCUGCCAUGGAUUGAGGCCUCUGGCCGGAGCUGCCUGGUCCCAGAGUGGCUGCACCACUUCCAGGGUUUAUUCCCUGGUGCCACCAGCCUUCCUGCGGGACCCUUAGCAAUGUCGUAGGAAAGGAGAUCAACAUUUUCAAAUUAGAUGUUUCAACUGUACUCUUGUUUUGUCUUGAAAGUGGCACCAGAGGUGCUUCUACCUGCGCAGUGGGUGCUGCUGAUAACAGUGACUGCUUCUCUCUCACUUUUUGGGGGGCUCAUUUUUGCUGUCUUGAUUCCCGGACUUACCAGGUGAGAAGUGGGGGAGGAAGAAGGCGGUGUCCCUUUUGCUAGAGCUGACGGCUUUGUUCGCGUGGGCAGAGCCUUCCACAGUGAAUGUGUCUGGACCUCAUGUUGCUGAGGCUGUCACAGAGUCCUGAGUGUGGACUUGGCAGGUGCCCAUUGAAUCUGAGCUGCAAGUUCCUCGUCUGUCACACCUGUGCUGCCUCAGAAGACAAUUUUUUUUUUUUUUUUUGGUAGAUGCAUGACUUGUGUGUGAUGAGGAGGAAAUGGAGACAGAGUCCCCGGCUCCUCUACUGUUUAACAACAUGGCUUUCUUAUUUUGUUUGAAUUGUUAAUUCACAGAAUAGCACAAACUACAAUUAAAACUAAGCACAAAGCCAUUCUAAGUCAUUGGGGAAACGGGGUGAACUUCAGGUGGAUGUGGAGACAGAAUAGAGUGAUAGGAAGCAUCUGGCAGAUACUCCUUUUGCCACUGCUGUGUGAUUAGACAGGCCCAGUGAGCCGUGGGGCACAUGCUGGCCGCUCCUCCCUCAGAAAAAGGCAGUGGCCUGAAUCCUUUUUAAAUGACUUGGCUCGAUGCUGUGGGGGACUGGCUAGGCUGCUGCAGGCUGUGUGUCUGUCAGCCUGACCUUCACAUCUGUCACGUUCUCCACACGGGGGAGGGAUGCAGUCCGCCCAGGUCCCUGCUUUCUUUGGAGGCAGCAGCUCCCACAGGGCUGAAGUCUGGCGUAAGAUGAUGGAUUUGAUUCGCCCUCCUCCCUGUCAUAGAGCUGCAGGGUGGAUUGUUACAGCUUCGUUGGAAACCUCUGGAGGUCAUCUCGGCUGUUCCUGAGAAAUAAAAAGCCUGUCAUUUCAAACACUGCUGUGGACCCUACGGGGUUUUUAAAAUAUUGUCCGUUUUUCAUCGUCGUCCUUAGCCUGCCAACAGCCAUCUGCCCAGACAACCACAGUGAGGAUGAGCGUCCUGGCAGAGAUGCAGUUGUCUCUGGGCGCUUGCCAGAGCUGCGAACCCCAGACCUGUUUGUAUCAUCCGGGCUCCUUCCGGGUAGAAACAACUGGAAAUGCACUUCAGACCCACUUGUUUCCGUCACAUCUGAGUUGGCCUGAGAUAGACUUUUCCCUCUAGACUUGGAGAGUAUCACAGUGGGUUUUGUUAGCAGAAAGUGCACUCCAGCCUCUGUAUUCAUCUAAGCUGCUUAUUUUUGAUAUUUGUGCCAGUCUGUAAAUGGAUACUUCACUUUAAUAACUGUUGCUUAGUAAUUGGCUUUGUAGAGAAGCUGGAAAAAGAUGGUUUUGUCUUCAACUCCUCUGCACGCCAGGCGGUGAUGUGGAUCUCGGCUUCUGUCAGCCUGUGCUGUGGGCAGGGCUGAGCUGGAGUCGCCCCUCUCAGCCCGCCUGCCACGGCUUUUCCUUAAAGGCCAUUCUUAAAACCAGACCCUCAUGGCUGCCAGCACCUGAAAGCUUCCUCGACAUCUGUUAAUAAAGCCGUAGGCCCUUGUCUAAGCGCAACUGCCUAGACUUUCUUUCA
Molecule: RNA transcript, 2724 nt
Organism: Nomascus leucogenys (northern white-cheeked gibbon)
Lineage: Eukaryota; Metazoa; Chordata; Mammalia; Primates; Hylobatidae
Gene: BIRC5
Gene name: baculoviral IAP repeat containing 5
Exons: 5
Source: RefSeq, a predicted model, not a curated record